UGGCUCUGGAGAAGCUCAAUCAUUGAGUACCGAAGGUGCAAGGCAGUAUAACCGCUGAAUCUCUCAGGUAAAAGGACAGAGAAA
This 84-nucleotide non-coding RNA is filed under the name uncultured Faecalimonas sp. RNAcentral's name for it is "Glycine riboswitch". It matches the Rfam family "Glycine riboswitch aptamer", at positions 9 to 86 of the family's 94-position model. Rfam says of the family: This family represents the bacterial glycine riboswitch. The record is from RNAcentral. Lineage: Bacteria; Bacillati; Bacillota; Clostridia; Lachnospirales; Lachnospiraceae.